GUUUUAUUUCAAAGCUAAAUUAAGACUGCUGUUUCUUGUUGUUGUUCUUUCCUUCUCAUUCUGGCUUCUUUUCUUUGUCUCUCUCCGGGGGUAUUGUUGCUCUUUGAUGGUUAAUUAACCAGAAACCAGAAGACUAAUUGAAAGAUAGAUAGGGUGGGCGAAAGGCGUGAACCUGAAGAAGAAUUUGAUUUUUUUUUUAAUGAUGAUAAUGAUUGAGAAAUGAAGAGUGAUUUUUCAUUUUAGAAGCUGAUAAAUGUUGGUUGAACAUUCUUGUCAAAUAAGAGAAAUUUCCAUGUGGUGGAUUGUAUGAAAAAACCCUGUUUCGUAGAAAGGGGGAAAACCCCAUUUGAGAGUAUGCAGAGAACAUUCAUUUGAUAAAAAGAAAGUUUUUUGUUUGUUUUUCUUUGGGUUUUUAUUUUGGGUGUUAGUGUUUGAUAAUGUCUUCUAAUACUCCAUCAGAGAUGCAAGAACCGAGCAUCGAUACGGAUAAGUUGAGUUAUGAAAUCUUUUCUAUACUGGAAAGCAAAUUUUUGUUUGGGUACGAUGACAAUCAGAAGCUAUGGAUUCCCAAACCGAUCUCUCCCCCGGCUUCGGAACCGAUGGUUCAACCGGGUGACGAGAAUUCCUUCCCAGCUAUAAAGAACCAGAGGGGUAAAAUCUGUAUUUUGAGUAUUGAUAGCGGUGGCAUGAAAGGAAUUCUUUGCGGGAAAGCGUUGGCUUAUCUUGAAAAAGCCUUGAAAUCCAAGUCGGGUAAUCCAAACGCUCGAGUCGCCGAUUAUUUCGACGUCGCCGCGGGUUCAAGUGUUGGUGGUAUCUUCACCGCCAUGCUUUUUGCCACCAGAGAUAACAACCAACCGAUUUUCACCGCCGAGGAGACGUGGCGGUUCCUUGCUGAUAAUGGGAAGAGGAUCUACCGGUCGGGUGCUGUUAAAAACGGCGGUAUUCUAAAGAAGAUUUUGAAAAACGGUUCGACCGGGUCAAGUUCGAACGGUAUGGAGAAGGCCAUGAAGGAGGCUUUCACGGCGGGUAGAAGGAGUUUGACGUUGAAAGAUACACUAAAGCCGGUUUUGAUUCCGUGUUAUGAUCUUUCCAGUACGGCGCCUUUUUUGUUUUCGAGGGCCGAUGCUUUGGAGACGGAUAGUUUCGACUUUCCAUUAUGGGAGGUUUGUCGGGCAACCUCUGCUGAACCGGGCUUAUCCGGGCCGGUAUUGAUGCAAUCCGUUGACGGUCAAACCAAGUGUGUGGCGGUCGAUGGUGGGUUGGCAAUGAGCAACCCGACCGUUGCAGCCAUUACGCAUGUGUUACAUAAUAAACAGGAGUUUCCUUUCGUUAGAGGGGUUGAGGAUCUGUUGGUGCUGUCAUUGGGGACGGGUCAGCUCCUUGAGGUUAGCUAUGAAUAUGAGCAAGUCAAGACUUGGAGGCUCAAGGAUUGGGCUAAACCGAUGGCUCGUAUAUCCGGUGACGGUUCAGCCGACUCGGUGGAUCAAACCGUCGCCAUGGCCUUUCAACAAUGCAGAAGCAGUAAUUACGUAAGAAUUCAGGAGUAUUUAGAGGUCAUCUCAUUGCACGUUGCUCUAUAUGAUGGCAAAUGGGUCCGGUUUAGGCAGGUGUGGUCCAAAUGUAGAUACAGACCCCAGCCCCAGCAAUGUUAAGUUGCUGAUGGAGAUAGGUGAGGAAAUGCUGAAGCAAAAAAACGUUGAAUCAAUUCUGUUUGGAGGUAAAAGGAUUAGUGAAGAAAGUAAUAUGGAGAAAUUAGAUUGGUUUGCCGGUGAACUUGUUUUGGAACAUCAGAGGAGGAGUUGCAGAAUUGCUCCCACUGUUGCUUUCAAGCAACCCAGCCCUAAGAUCAACUAGGUUUCUCUCUCAACCAACACAGUUUGUACCAUUUCUUGCAACCCAAAAGCAACUGACACAGGAAGAAGAAGAAGAAGAAGAAGAAGAAAGAUAGCAGCUUUUAAUGAAACCAUGGAAUUGAAUUAAAGAAGAAAAAACACAUUAAAAAGGGGGUUUCAAAGAUAGUUUGGAUGAUGUUGUCCACUCCCAUCCUAUUUUUUCUCCCAAUCAAAACCUUCAACAGUUGUUAAAACUAGAAGCAAUGGUGUGAAACUAAAUUGCAAAAAAUUAUAUAUUCCCUACUUUCCUUUAUGAAUUGUUGUAUAUUCUCAAGGGGCAAAAAUAUGGAGGUGGAUUAUCUUGUCUUGUAAUCAAAAGCCAUGAAUAUAAGCCAAAGUUCUUUACUAGACAUGGCAAUCUAUGUAUUUACUA
Molecule: RNA transcript, 2265 nt
Organism: Gossypium raimondii (Peruvian cotton)
Lineage: Eukaryota; Viridiplantae; Streptophyta; Magnoliopsida; Malvales; Malvaceae
Gene name: patatin-like protein 6
Exons: 5
Source: RefSeq, a predicted model, not a curated record